GUGCCAGCAGCCGCGGUAAUACAGAGGGCGCGAGCGUUGUCCGGAAUCACUGGGCGUAAAGGGCGCGUAGGUGGCCACCAUAAGGCCGCGGUGAAAGUUCGGGGCUCAACCCUGAAUCGGCCGCGGCGACUGUGGGGCUAGGGCACCGUAGAGGCAGAUGGAAUUCCGGGUGUAGCGGUGGAAUGCGUAGAGAUCCGGAAGAACACCAGUGGCGAAGGCGGUCUGCUGGGCGGUGGAUCCGCAAGGGUCCAAUAGCCGACACUGAGGCGCGACAGCGUGGGGAGCAAACAGGAUUAGAUACCCCCGUAGUCC
This 312-nucleotide ribosomal RNA is filed under the name uncultured bacterium. RNAcentral describes it as "bacterial SSU rRNA". It matches the Rfam family "Bacterial small subunit ribosomal RNA", at positions 505 to 796 of the family's 1533-position model. The record is from RNAcentral.